UUCUACCAGUUGGAUAAUGCACUUC
RNAcentral lists this non-coding RNA (25 nucleotides) under Mus musculus (house mouse). Lineage: Eukaryota; Metazoa; Chordata; Mammalia; Rodentia; Muridae. The record is from RNAcentral.